RNAcentral lists this ribosomal RNA (494 nucleotides) under uncultured bacterium. RNAcentral describes it as "partial 16S ribosomal RNA". It matches the Rfam family "Bacterial small subunit ribosomal RNA", at positions 28 to 507 of the family's 1533-position model. The record is from RNAcentral.
GACGAACGCUGGCGGCGUGCUUAACACAUGCCAGUCGAACGGUGAAGCGCCUUCCUUUUUGGUGGGUGUGGAUGAGUGGCGAACGGGUGAGUAACACGUGAGUAACCUGCCCCCUUCUUCUGGAUAACCGCAUGAAAGUGUGGCUAAUACGGGAUAUUCUGGGUCUGUCGCAUGAUGGGUCUGGGAAAGAUAUUGUUUCGGUGGGGGAUGGGCUCGCGGCCUAUCAGCUUGUUGGUGGGGUGAUGUCCUACCAAGGCGGUGACGGGUAGCCGGCCUGAGAGGGUGGACGGUCACACUGGGACUGAGACACGGCCCAGACUCCUACGGGAGGCAGCAGUGGGGAAUAUUGCACAAUGGGCGCAAGCCUGAUGCAGCGACGCCGCGUGAGGGAUGGAGGCCUGCGGGUUGUGAACCUCUUUCGCCAGUGAAGCAGGCCUGCCUCGUUUGUGGGUGGGUUGACGGUAGCUGGAUAAGAAGCGCCGGCUAACUACGUG